RNAcentral lists this ribosomal RNA (908 nucleotides) under uncultured bacterium. Its description in RNAcentral is "bacterial SSU rRNA". It matches the Rfam family "Bacterial small subunit ribosomal RNA", at positions 8 to 916 of the family's 1533-position model. The record is from RNAcentral.
AGAGUUUGAUCAUGGCUCAGGAUGAACGCUGGCGGCGUGCCUAACACAUGCAAGUCGAGCGGUAUAUAUCUAAACAAAACUUCGGUCUAGUGAGGGUAUAGAGAGCGGCGGACGGGUGAGUAACGCGUAGGCAACCUGCCCCAUACACAGGGAUAGCCUCGGGAAACCGGGAUUAAAACCUGAUAAUGCGAGAAGUUCACAUGGACAACUCGCCAAAGAUUUAUCGGUAUGGGAUGGGCCUGCGUCUGAUUAGCUAGUUGGUGGGGUAACGGCCUACCAAGGCGACGAUCAGUAGCCGACCUGAGAGGGUAAUCGGCCACAUUGGAACUGAGACACGGUCCAAACUCCUACGGGAGGCAGCAGUGGGGAAUAUUGCACAAUGGGCGAAAGCCUGAUGCAGCAACGCCGCGUGAGCGAUGAAGGCCUUUGGGUCGUAAAGCUCUGUCCUUGGGGAAGAAAAAAAUGACGGUACCCUUGGAGGAAGCCCCGGCUAACUACGUGCCAGCAGCCGCGGUAAUACGUAGGGGGCAAGCGUUAUCCGGAAUUAUUGGGCGUAAAGAGUGCGUAGGUGGUUUUGUAAGCGCGGGGUGAAAGGCAAUAGCUCAACUAUUGUAAGCCUUGCGAACUGUAAGACUUGAGUGCAGGAGAGGAAAGCGGAAUUCCUAGUGUAGCGGUGAAAUGCGUAGAUAUUAGGAGGAACACCAGUGGCGAAGGCGGCUUUCUGGACUGUAACUGACACUGAGGCACGAAAGCGUGGGGAGCAAACAGGAUUAGAUACCCUGGUAGUCCACGCCGUAAACGAUGAGCACUAGGUGUCGGGGCCGCAAGGCUUCGGUGCCGCAGUUAACGCAUUAAGUGCUCCGCCUGGGGAGUACGCACGCAAGUGUGAAACUCAAAGGAAUUGACGG